Molecule: transfer RNA, 85 nt
Filed under: Felis catus (domestic cat)
Lineage: Eukaryota; Metazoa; Chordata; Mammalia; Carnivora; Felidae
Rfam family: tRNA
About the family: Transfer RNA (tRNA) molecules are approximately 80 nucleotides in length. Their secondary structure includes four short double-helical elements and three loops (D, anti-codon, and T loops).
Source: Rfam by way of RNAcentral
GCCUGGGUGGCUCAGUCGGUUAAGCGUCUGACUUUGGCUGAGGUCACGAUCUCACAGUUUGUGGGUUCGAACCCUGCAUCAGGCU